AGCGCGGAGCACGAGGAAUUCUGCGUGAAUCUGCCGGGACCAUCCGGUAAGGCUAAAUACUCCCGAGAGACCGAUAGUGAACCAGUACCGUGAGGGAAAGGUGAAAAGCACUUCGAACAGAAGAGUGAAAUAGUCCCUGAACCCAUACGCCUACAAGCAGUCGGAGCCGCUUCGUGCGGUGACGGCGUGCCUUUUGCAUAAUGAGCCUACGAGUUACUCAUCACCAGCGAGGUUAAGUACUUCAGGUACGUAAGCCGAAGCGAAAGCGAGUCUGAAUAGGGCGUCAAGUUGGUGGUGGUAGACGCGAAACCUUAGUGAUCUACCCAUGGGCAGGGUGAAGGUUUGGUAACACAAACUGGAGGCCCGAACCGGUAAACGUUGAAAAGUUUUCGGAUGACCUGUGGGUAGGGGUGAAAGGCCAAUCAAACUGGGAAAUAGCUCGUACUCUCCGAAAUGCAUUUAGGUGCAGCCUCUGUUGUUUUGUUCUAGAGGUAGAGCUACUGAUUGGAUGCGAGGGCUUCACCGCCUAUCAAAUCCGGCCAAACUCCGAAUGCUAGAACAUGAAGACAGGGAGUGAGCCAGCGGGUGCUAAGGUCCGUUGACGAAAGAGGGAGAACUCAGACCAUCAGCUAAGGUCCCCAAUUAUAUGCUAAGUUGGAAUAAAAACGGGGUGGGACUGCUUAGACAGCUAGGAUGUUGGCUUGGAAGCAGCCAUUCAUUUAAAGAGUGCGUAACAGCUCACUAGUCGAGCGGUCCUGCAUGGAUAAUACGCGGGCAUAAGCAUAUAACCGAAGCUAUGGGAUUGUAGAUGAUACAAUCGGUAGGAGAGCAUUCCAUUCAGCAUAGAAGCAGUACCGUGAGGUAUUGUGGAGCGGAUGGAAAAGCAAAUGUAGGCAUAAGUAACGAUAAUGCGGGUGAGAACCCCGCACGCCGAAAGAUCAAGGAUUCCCCGGCAAUGUCAAUCAUCCGGGGGUAAGUCGGAUCCUAAGGGUAAGCCGAGUGGCGAUCCCGAUGGUAAACAGGUUAAUAUUCCUGUACUGAUCAUAACUGCGAUGCAGCGACGCAGAGGUGACACUGCUGCGUACUGACGGAAUAGUACGUUGAAACCCGUAUUCUUUGAUACCGGUAGUGAAGCACGCCGGUAGAGAUGAAAGGUGAUAGUACCGCAAUGCUUCGGUUGCGCGGAUAAUGCAGGUAAGCUGACUGCCAAGAAAACCUGCUAAGCUUCAGGUAAUGAUCAUCCGUACUGUAAACGGACACACGUGAUCAGGUAGAAAAUACUAAGGCGCUCGAGAGAUUCAUGGUUAAGGAACUAGGCAAAAUGGUCCUGUAACUUCGGGAUAAAGGACGCUCUUGUGAAAGAGCCGCAGAUAAUAGGCCCAGGCGACUGUUUACCAAAAACACAUGGCUAUGCUAAUUCGCAAGAAGAUGUAUAUGGCCUGACACCUGCCCGGUGCCGGAAGGUUAAGAGGAGAGCUCAGAGGUAACUCGAAGGUUUGAAUUGAAGCCCCGGUAAACGGCGGCCGUAACUAUAACGGUCCUAAGGUAGCGAAAUUCCUUGUCGGGU
RNAcentral lists this ribosomal RNA (1567 nucleotides) under human gut metagenome. RNAcentral's name for it is "bacterial LSU rRNA". It matches the Rfam family "Bacterial large subunit ribosomal RNA", at positions 414 to 1977 of the family's 2925-position model. The record is from RNAcentral.